Molecule: transfer RNA, 80 nt
Filed under: Beijerinckiaceae bacterium RH AL1
Lineage: Bacteria; Pseudomonadati; Pseudomonadota; Alphaproteobacteria; Hyphomicrobiales; Beijerinckiaceae
Also listed under: 2 other names
Description: tRNA-Gly(gcc)
Source: RNAcentral
GGCAACGGCCAGCGCGGGCUUCGCCGCGCGCGUCGCCGCCGCCGACGCGUUCGUCCAUGUGCGCGACAUGGCCGAUGCCG